RNAcentral lists this ribosomal RNA (565 nucleotides) under uncultured bacterium. RNAcentral describes it as "bacterial SSU rRNA". It matches the Rfam family "Bacterial small subunit ribosomal RNA", at positions 224 to 801 of the family's 1533-position model. The record is from RNAcentral.
GAUGGGCUCGCGGCCUAUCAGCUUGUUGGUGAGGUAAUGGCUCACCAAGGCGUCGACGGGUAGCCGGCCUGAGAGGGUGACCGGCCACACUGGGACUGAGACACGGCCCAGACUCCUACGGGAGGCAGCAGUGGGGAAUAUUGCACAAUGGGCGGAAGCCUGAUGCAGCAACGCCGCGUGAGGGAUGACGGCCUUCGGGUUGUAAACCUCUUUUAGCAGGGAAGAAGCGAAAGUGACGGUACCUGCAGAAAAAGCGCCGGCUAACUACGUGCCAGCAGCCGCGGUAAUACGUAGGGCGCAAGCGUUAUCCGGAAUUAUUGGGCGUAAAGAGCUCGUAGGCGGUUUGUCGCGUCUGCUGUGAAAUCCCGAGGCUCAACCUCGGGCCUGCAGUGGGUACGGGCAGACUAGAGUGCGGUAGGGGAGAUUGGAAUUCCUGGUGUAGCGGUGGAAUGCGCAGAUAUCAGGAGGAACACCGAUGGCGAAGGCAGAUCUCUGGGCCGUAACUGACGCUGAGGAGCGAAAGGGUGGGGAGCAAACAGGCUUAGAUACCCUGGUAGUCCACCCC